UUUAAUUAGCUGCAAUUCAGAAAUUUUUUCUACAGAUUUAAAUACAAAGUUUUUAAAGAGGGUAGCUCUCAAUGGGGCAAAGAAGCCAGUAUAUGUUUUAAUAUUUCUUUAAUCAAGAAUUUAAUUGGCCUAGGAUUUUUCUCCGAAAAUCCAAACCAGAAAUUCGUGCUGUUUCAAAAUUUAAUUUAAAUAUAUGGUGGAAAUUUGUAAUUAAUAUUAAGGAGCCGUUCAGGUAUUACAUUCCAAUUAAAAACAUCAUGAAACAUCUGAUUAUUUUAUUUCUAGUCUAUGGUUCGCUAAUCAAUGCUUCAUCGGUACGCCUUGGGAUGGACACAGAUAGACGCCAGCUCACAUUGCGAUACAAGAUACUCCCAGAUAUACCGUUUAUUGGAAACUUUUGUUAUUGCCGUGAUUAUAAUAUGAGAAAAU
Pieris brassicae (large cabbage white) is the source of this 429-nucleotide long non-coding RNA. RefSeq lists it as uncharacterized. The transcript has 3 exons. The record is from RefSeq and is a predicted model, not a curated record. NCBI's taxonomy places the organism in Eukaryota, Metazoa, Arthropoda, Insecta, Lepidoptera, Pieridae.